UGGGUGUUGCUUCAAUGGCAGUGUCUAGCCAU
Molecule: non-coding RNA, 32 nt
Filed under: Mus musculus (house mouse)
Lineage: Eukaryota; Metazoa; Chordata; Mammalia; Rodentia; Muridae
Source: RNAcentral